This is a long non-coding RNA of Oncorhynchus tshawytscha (Chinook salmon), 520 nucleotides long. Lineage: Eukaryota; Metazoa; Chordata; Actinopteri; Salmoniformes; Salmonidae. The record is from Ensembl.
CACACACACACACACACACACCUAACAGUCAGUCUGACACUCUCUUACAGAGACAAACAAACAUGAGUACCAGCAUCUCUCAACCACCACAGGCCUCUCGUCGUCAACCCUGAAGCCCAGACAAACAAACAAGAGGAGAGGGAGUAGGGGGGACACCGGGCUCAGAGGAGAGGGGUUGGGGGACACCGGGCUCAGAGGAGAGUAGGGGGGGACACCGGGCUCAGAGGAGAGUAGUAGGGGGGGACACCGGGCUCAGAGGAGAGUAGGGGGACACCGGGCUCAGAGGAGACAUGUAGGCUACGCCUCACAACAACAUGUAGGCUACGCCUCACAACAACAUGUAGUCUACGCCUCACAACAACAUGUAGGCUACGCCUCACAACAACAUGUAGGCUACGCCUCACAACAACAUGUAGGCUACGCCUCACAACAACAUGUAGGUUACGCCUCACAACAACAUGUAGGCUACGCCUCACAACAACAUGUAGUCUACGCCUCACAACAACAUGUAGGCUACGCC